This 1109-nucleotide long non-coding RNA is filed under the name Astyanax mexicanus (Mexican tetra). RNAcentral describes it as "lncRNA (ENSAMXG00005011506.1)". The record is from RNAcentral. Lineage: Eukaryota; Metazoa; Chordata; Actinopteri; Characiformes; Acestrorhamphidae.
UCAGCUUGUUCUACUGAAGCUGUUAUUACAGACCUGGCCUGAGGGCAGGUAUCACUCCUCACACACACACUCCUCCCCUCAUACCUGCCCCACCCAUCCAUCUGCUGCACCUUAGUCCCUCCCCAGGGGGUGUGGCUAAAACUGAAAUCUUAAAUGGGUGUUAACAUUAGCCAUAGAAUUUUCUCCUCCAUCACUACACACCUCCACUUCAGAUUAGCUCAAGAACAGUAGAGCGUAGAGGCUCAUGGAAUGGAGAGUUUGGGCUGCAUGAUAUUGGGAAAAAUCAGCAGGUACUUGUCUGACUACAUUGUGGCAAAUGUAAAGUUUGGUAGAGAGGGGAUCAUCAUUAAUUGUGGUAUGAAGUUGUAUUUUAUGAGUUUGGCUCCACCUCUUCAUUCCAGUGACAGUGACUCUUAAUGCUUUAGCAGAAUAAGAUUUUACACCAUUUCAUUCUCCCAACUUUGUGGAAACAGUUUGUGGACGACCUCUUCAGAAUCAGAACAGAGCUGAUUAGCAUGUCAGUAUAAAAGGUACAGUAGAAUGAGGAAUAUAAUCUCUUUAAUCAGUGUUAAGGUGGAAUUAAACGGUCCAAUCACAGUACGAGUUGAGUCUGGAUUGUCUCUUGUGGGUCUGUCCGUAUUUAACCCCCCCCCCCCGCUGUGCUGUACUGACCCCAGACCUGCAGUGUUAGCCCCCCCACAGUGUGACCGGCUAAUCCUGGGUUGUUAGCAUGUCAGGCUAAUCCCACAGUGCUGCGCUAAUCCAGCAUGGUGGACUGCUCUGUUGCAGCGGCGUCGGUGCAGACGGCUGAUGACCCGCGGUCCCGGACCCGCAGUACCGAGAUGGGCGAGUGGUGGACCCCGCCCAUGAUGCCGGACCCCUCCCUGGACACUAAAGAACUCUCCAGCAUUUCCCACAUUAGCUCCGCCUCCACCUCCGCCUCGGAUCCGCCCAAACACUCCUACAGCGUCCUCCACGCCUUCUGCACCGAGGAGAACAUCUCCCAGUGCAUCUCCUACAUCAACCAGGUCAGACCAGCUUCCUCACCGCCACCGACCCUCACCGCCACCGACCCUCACCGCCACCGACCCUCACCGCCACCGACCCUC